AGAGUGGCAGACGGGUGAGUAACGCGUGGGAAUGUACCUUCCAGUUCGGAAUAACCAUUGGAAACGAUGGCUAAUACCGGAUACGUCCGAGAGGAGAAAGCUUUAGUGCUGGGAGAGCAGCCCGCGUAUGAUUAGGUAGUUGGUUAGGUAAAGGCUGACCAAGCCCAUGAUCAUUAGCUGGUUUGAGAGGAUGAUCAGCCACACUGGGACUGAGACACGGCCCAGACUCC
RNAcentral lists this ribosomal RNA (230 nucleotides) under uncultured bacterium. Its description in RNAcentral is "partial 16S ribosomal RNA". It matches the Rfam family "Bacterial small subunit ribosomal RNA", at positions 92 to 339 of the family's 1533-position model. The record is from RNAcentral.